Molecule: ribosomal RNA, 301 nt
Filed under: uncultured bacterium
Lineage: Bacteria
Description: partial 16S ribosomal RNA
Rfam family: Bacterial small subunit ribosomal RNA
Source: RNAcentral
CAGCCGCCGCGGUAAUACGAAGGUCCCGAGCGUUGUUCGGAAUCACUGGGCGUAAAGGGAGCGUAGGCGGCGUGGUAAGUCAGAUGUGAAAUCCCGGGGCUCAACCCCGGAACUGCAUCCGAUACUGCCAUGCUAGAGGAUUGGAGAGGUAGCUGGAAUUCUUGGUGUAGCAGUGAAAUGCGUGGAGAUCAAGAGGAACACUCGUGGCGAAAGCGAGCUACUGGACAAUAACUGACGCUGAGGCUCGAAGGCCAGGGUAGCGAAAGGGAUUAGAUACCCCCGUAGUCCCUGUCUCUUAUAC